Asparagus officinalis (garden asparagus) is the source of this 463-nucleotide long non-coding RNA. RefSeq lists it as uncharacterized. The transcript is spliced from 2 exons. The record is from RefSeq and is a predicted model, not a curated record. NCBI's taxonomy places the organism in Eukaryota, Viridiplantae, Streptophyta, Magnoliopsida, Asparagales, Asparagaceae.
AAAGAUAAUUAAAGCUAAGAAAAAGUUUACCCGGUAAGGUUUAACGCCUUUAACCUUGUACCAAACAAGCCCUAAAGGUGACCUUGACCCUUGCUCCUUUCCAUUCUCUGUCCUUGGGAGGCGAAAAUCCUCGGGCGCCGAUCAUUGCCGGGUAGCGGUCGCAGGAUUAUCUCACAUUAUAUUUGAUGGAAACCAAGUCUGCAGCUAAGCAAACAACCAGCUUUCCAUUGAGGAUCCUAAAAUAUCAACCAAAGCUUCCUCCGUUUGUUGUUCUGUUCUGAGGGUCCCGUGCAUUUUUUAAACUGUUUCUCUUGUAUCUCAUUGCCUAUUUGUCUUGGAAUAUUUGAACUGUUGCUUUUGGAAUUUUCAUACCAAAACUUUUGCAUUGUACUGUUUUAUUCAUUUGUAGCCUACAAAGAAUAAGAUCAAAAAAAAAUUUAAAUACAGAGAGAUGAUAAAAGGA